Molecule: ribosomal RNA, 775 nt
Filed under: uncultured Neocallimastigales
Lineage: Eukaryota; Fungi; Neocallimastigomycota; Neocallimastigomycetes; Neocallimastigales
Description: partial large subunit ribosomal RNA
Rfam family: Eukaryotic large subunit ribosomal RNA
Source: RNAcentral
AGAGAGAGACAUGCGCGCAUAUCAAUAAGCGGAGGAAAAGAAACUAACAAGGAUUCCCUUAGUAACGGCGAGUGAAGCGGGAAGAGCUCAAAUUUGAAAUCUUCAAGGUUCUACCUUGACGAAUUGUAGUUUAUAGAAGUGUUUUCUGUUAGUGGAGUGGCAAAAGUUCUUUGGAAUAGGACAUCAUAGAGGGUGAGAAUCCCGUAUUUGGUCAUUCCUCCUAGCGUUGUGAUACACUUUCAACGAGUCGGAUUGUUUGGGAAUGCAGUCCAAAAUGGGUGAUAAAUUUCAUCUAAAGCUAAAUAUUGGCGAGAGACCGAUAGCGAACAAGUACCGUGAGGGAAAGAUGAAAAGAACUUUGAAAAGAGAGUUAAACAGUACGUGAAAUUGUCAAAAGGGAAGCGUUUGACACCAGUGUUGUUUUUCCGAAAAUCAAUUACGAAUGUUUUAUUUUUGAGGAGUUAUGACUUCAUCGGCUUGCUCCUUUCUUUAUGAAACUUUCUUAAUGCACUUUUCGGUUAACAAGUCAACAUCAAUUUCUUUUGUUGUAAAAGGGUAUGAGGAAGGUGGCUUUCUUUUCGGAGAAAGUGUUUAUAGCCUCGUGCCUCUGCAAUCGGAGAGAUUGAGGUCUGCAGCGUAGAUCCUUCGGGGUUAGAUACAGUUUGUGCUAAGUUAUAGCUUUUCAUAGACAACUUGUUGACUAUGUUUAGUCUUGUAGCUUACUCGCUGAUGCUAUUUUACCUACGCUUAGGAUGUUGAUAGUCACAGCGUGUAC